RNAcentral lists this ribosomal RNA (469 nucleotides) under uncultured bacterium. RNAcentral describes it as "partial 16S ribosomal RNA". It matches the Rfam family "Bacterial small subunit ribosomal RNA", at positions 28 to 507 of the family's 1533-position model. The record is from RNAcentral.
GACGAACGCUGGCGGCGUGCUUAACACAUGCAAGUCGAACGGAAAGGCCCUGCUUGCAGGGUGCUCGAGUGGCGAACGGGUGAGUAACACGUGGGUGAUCUGCCCCUUACUUUGGGAUAAGCCUGGGAAACUGGGUCUAAUACUGGAUAGGACCAUGCUGUAGGUGGUGUGGUGGAAAGAUUAGUUUCGGUAAGGGAUGAGCUCGCGGCCUAUCAGCUUGUUGGUGGGGUAAUGGCCUACCAAGGCGUCGACGGGUAGCCGGCCUGAGAGGGUGGACGGCCACAUUGGGACUGAGAUACGGGCCAGACUCCUACGGGAGGCAGCAGUGGGGAAUAUUGCACAAUGGGCGCAAGCCUGAUGCAGCGACGCCGCGUGGGGGAUGACGGCCUUCGGGUUGUAAGCUCCUUUCAGCCAUGACGAAGCCCUUGUGGUGACGGUAGUGGUAGAAGAAGCACCGGCUAACUACGUG